This is a long non-coding RNA of Equus asinus (donkey), 2454 nucleotides long. NCBI's taxonomy places the organism in Eukaryota, Metazoa, Chordata, Mammalia, Perissodactyla, Equidae. The record is from Ensembl.
GGGGCGCGGCGCGGCGGUCGGUCAGUCCCGCCCGCGGCUGCGAGGCCGCGCCCGCCCUGGCUGGUUCCGGUGCCGGAGGUGCGGGGCGCGUGGGGGGUCGGGGGCGGGAGACUGCUCGCACGCGACCAGGACCAGAGGAGUCGGGGGUCCGCUCACACGGGACCAGCACCAGUGGUUCCUCGGGUCCCCUCCCAUGGGAACCAGAAGAGAUGGUUCCCCAUGGGGUCCAAGCGUGGCCACGGGUCCGCUCCUGCGGGGACCAGCCGUGGCUGUGGGUCUGCGCCCAUGGGGACUAGCACCAGAGGAGGCCAAGGGUGGACUCCCAUGGGCUCGAGGGUGGCCAGCAUCGCUCCCUUGGGUACCAGCACCAGGGACUUCUAGUAUAUCUUGAAAAAUGAAAGCUCCGGCAAUAGCAAACCAUCACACCCAUAGCCGCCUCCCUUUAGGUGUGUUAAAAGAUAAACUGAGGCAUAUUAAACAUUUCAAGUUUAUGGGGCCAGCCGGGUGGCACAGCAGUUAAGUGCGCACGUUCCACUUCUGUGGCCUGGGGUUCCCCGGUUUGGAUCCCCCGUGCGGACAUGGCACCGCUUGGUAAGCCAUGCUGUGGCAGGCGUCCCACGUAUAAAAGAGAGGAAGAUGGGCACGGAUGUUAGCUUAGGGCCAGUCUUCCUCAGCAAAAAGAGGAGGAUUGGCAGCAGAUGUUAGCUCAGGGCUAAUCAUCUUCAAAUAAAUAAAUAAAAAAUGUCGUUUAUUUGAGCAAAACUCUACUCCGAUUGGCAGAACCAAACCGGAAGUAGUUAGGAGUGUUCCACCCACAGGAGCCGAGUUUUUUUUUUUUUAAAUGCAGGUAAGGUGCCUUGUGGAAUUUUUUUUUAAAUAUUUUAUUUUUCCCUUUCCUCCCCAAAGCCCCCCAAUACAUAGUUGUGUAUUUUUUUUAGUUGUGGGUCCUUCUAGCUGUGGCAUGGGGGAUGCUGCCUCAGCAUGGCCUGAUGAGCAGUGCCAUGUCUGCGCCCAGGAUUUGAACUGGUGAAAUGUUGGACCACUGAAGCAGAGGGUGCAAACUUGACCACUGGGCCGGGGUGGCCCCCAGAGCUGGGGAUUUUUAUAGAGAAAGGCAGAAGCAAGGCAAGGAGAUUGCUGAUUGGCUAUGGCUUCAAGCCCGGUUGGCUGUGUGUGACAGGUGGUCCUUAGGUUCCAGUAUCAUCAGCUUGAGUCAUUUCCAGGCUUAGAUUUUACUUUGCUUACUUAGGCUGUCAGGGUUAGAGCCACAUCCGUCUAAUGGCCUCCUUGUUAAUUAACUUGACAGAUGGGACCUGAGCUUUCCAGUUCCACAGUGGCCGAAGGCUCACUUUAACUCCUUUAUGCUCUCAAUCUGUAUUCCUGUUUUUGGAAGAGGUUGAAGUUUAUUUCUGGACUCCACAGUCACCAGGGACCCAGACUUCUCUCUUUCUAUUCCAGCUUCCCAAUGUUUGGCCUCUAUUCUCAAAGUGGCCUCAAGGCACACAACAGCUGCUGGAGCCUCAUUCAUCACAUUCACAUUCCAGGCACCAGGAAGGAAGGGCAACAAUGGUGCAGCCAAAAUGGUGCAUUUCAUUUUAAGGGCUCCUGUAACUUCACACAGUCCUAUGCCUUUAUCUUAUUGUGCACAUGACCACAUCUUCCAUCCAAGGGAGCUGGGAAGUGCAGUGUGUUAGCUGGGCACGUUGCCACCCUGAAUUAAAUGGGGGUUACUAAGAGAUGACAGGUCCCAGGGAUUUGGAUGUGGACAUAUCUUUUUGGAGGCCACCACUCAACCCACUGCAGAGGCCCAUUUCAAAGAUGGCUGCAUGCAUGUAGGCCCCUGAUCACCUCAUCUGGGACUGCUCCCCACCUCCUCUACCCGUAUGGCUCUUUGUCCCUUCUCCUGGACUGACCCCGUUCUGCUUUAUAAUCACCGAGCAGUCGGCCCUCCCUGGGGCGUGAGCUCACUCCAGGCUCUAACCUCCGCUUGCCUGGGACAACAUUGUGAGGAGGGAAGGCACUCGGUAAAAGUUUGUGGAAUUAAAUAAAAUCACUGAAUUUGCACUGUGUUGAGAUUUUAUGCCUAUGACACUGCAUUCCUGAUUUUGUAAUGGUAGUCAGUGCUACAAUAGGAUUUGAUAAGCUGAAAUUCACUGUUAUUUGAUUUUUCUGGAAUACGCCUGUUCCAUAAGGUGAGAGAUUCUGACAUAUCUUUUGGGGCCUGAUACUUUAUCCAUUUGUUGCUUCAGGUUACCCAUUUGUAAAACGAGAAAAAGUAUAAACAGGAUCAGAGUUAAUUAGCUCAUUUUGAUGGAGUCUUUUAUGAUUCUCCCAGGUAGGAAAUAUAGGGGAGCACGAAGACAAACGUGUUAUCGUGGAAUGAUGUAGAAAUAACUAUUGGGCGGGGGGCGGUAGAGCAGAAAACGUUGUCGGCAGCUCUUACGAAAUCUCUCC